GACGAACGCUGGCGGCGUGCCUAAUACAUGCAAGUAGAACGCUGAAGAGAGGAGCUUACUCUUCUUGGAUGAGUUGCGAACGGGUGAGUAACGCGUAGGUAACCUGCCUUGUAGCGGGGGAUAACUAUUGGAAACGAUAGCUAAUACCGCAUAACAAUGGAUGACACAUUUCAUUUCUUUGAAAGGGGCAAUUUCUCCACUACAAGAUGGACCUGCGUUGUAUUAGCUAGUAGGUGAGGUAAUGGCUCACCUAGGCGACGAUACAUAGCCGACCUGAGAGGGUGAUCGGCCACACUGGGACUGAGACACGGCCCAGACUCCUACGGGAGGCAGCAGUAGGGAAUCGUCGGCAAUGGGGGCAACCCUGACCGAGCAACGCCGCGUGAGUGAAGAAGGGUUUCGGAUCGUAAAGCUCGGUUGUAAGUCAAGAACGGGUGUGAGAGUGGAAAGUUCACACUGUGACGGUAGCUGACCAGAAAGGGACGGCUAACUACGUG
RNAcentral lists this ribosomal RNA (497 nucleotides) under uncultured bacterium. RNAcentral describes it as "partial 16S ribosomal RNA". It matches the Rfam family "Bacterial small subunit ribosomal RNA", at positions 28 to 507 of the family's 1533-position model. The record is from RNAcentral.